GCUCACGCGCUCUUGCGUGGAUUCCAUCAAUCAACUUCUCGAAUCGCAUCGGCUUGUGCCGGCGAUGCUUCAUUCAAAUCAUCUGCCCUCAUCAACUCUUCGAUCGGUCAGGAUCAGAGGCCUCACCAUCGGUUUCAACGGGUCAACGGGGAAUCAAGGGUCUCGAUUCCGGAGAGGGAGCCUCGAGAAACGGCUACCAAUCCAAGGAAGGCAGCAGGCGCGCAAAUUACCCAAUCCCGACACGGGGAGGUAGUCGACAAUCAAAUCAACAAUACAGGGCUCUUUUCGGGUCCUCGUCAAUUCGGAAUCGAGUCACAAUUUAAAUCCCUUCAACGAGGAACAAUUGGAGGGCAAGUCUCGGUGACCAGCAGCCGCGGUAAUUCCAGUCCAAUAGCGUCAUCAUUCAACAAGUUCG
Molecule: ribosomal RNA, 415 nt
Filed under: uncultured fungus
Lineage: Eukaryota; Fungi
Description: bacterial SSU rRNA
Rfam family: Eukaryotic small subunit ribosomal RNA
Source: RNAcentral